UGGGGAAUAUUGGGCAAUGGGCGAAAGCCUGACCCAGCCACGCCGCGUGAGUGAUGAAGGCCUUCGGGUCGUAAAGCUCUGUGGGGAGGGACGAACAAACUCUGGGCUAAUCACCAGGGUCCUGACGGUACCUCCUUAGCAAGCACCGGCUAACCCUGUGCCAGCAGCCGCGGUAAUACAGGGGGUGCAAACGUUGCUCGGAAUCAUUGGGCGUAAAGCGCACGUAGGCGGUCUGUUAUGUCGGAUGUGAAAGCCCUUGGCUCAACUGAGGAAGUGCAUCCGAAACUGGCAGGCUAGAGUACUAAAGAGGGUCGCGGAAUUCCCGGUGUAGAGGUGAAAUUCGUAGAUAUCGGGAGGAACACCGGUGGCGAAGGCGGCGACCUGGGUAGAUACUGACGCUGAGGUGCGAAAGCGUGGGGAGCAAACA
This 427-nucleotide ribosomal RNA is filed under the name uncultured Haliangium sp. Its description in RNAcentral is "bacterial SSU rRNA". It matches the Rfam family "Bacterial small subunit ribosomal RNA", at positions 355 to 774 of the family's 1533-position model. Lineage: Bacteria; Pseudomonadati; Myxococcota; Haliangiales; Kofleriaceae. The record is from RNAcentral.